This 675-nucleotide long non-coding RNA is filed under the name Androctonus crassicauda. Lineage: Eukaryota; Metazoa; Arthropoda; Arachnida; Scorpiones; Buthidae. The record is from RNAcentral.
CACAGAAAAAAAUAUUAAUGGCAGAUUGUAAUAUGGAAGGAAAAUGUAACAGGACACUUGUUUUACAAUUUUCAUGUAUACCCAAUAGUUUUCAAGAAAAAUGCCUGGUCCAUAGAAAUGUGGGCACCCUGUAUAUCAAUGUUAGCAAGUUAGGCUUAGCAAUAUUUUAGGCUUCAAGCACUACCAAAAACAUUUUAAAUAUUUUCAAAAAAAUACAGGCUUAAAAUUAAAAUUUACUAACCUAGUAAUUAGAUAACAUAAUGUACUGUAAAACCAAAAAAUGAGAAUUACUCUUAAUUUUAUUAAUGAAAUAUAAAGUCCAAAACUUCUUACAGCAGAAAGAUCCUAAACACCAUUUGGAACAAUUAGAACAUUCUAUUCUGCCUAAAACUUUAAACAAAUAUAUAAAUAUACUCAUUAAACCCUCAAUAGAUGGCAGCAAAUUAAAAUAUGGGACACAAAUAGUUCAGAAACAUUUUAGUAGCACUUUCUCAAAAUUGCAAAAGUGGGACUAAAAUGUCCCUGUAUCUCAAAAAGGGUUUAGGCAAAUUUAGUAUGAAGAAAAUAUGCUUUUCCAAAAACAUUCAUAAUGUAUAGUUUAUAUUCAACAUUACUUUUGUUUUUAUAAUUCAUAAUUUUUUUUUUUUUUUUUUCCAACUUUUACACAGAUAAUUA